RNAcentral lists this ribosomal RNA (253 nucleotides) under uncultured bacterium. Its description in RNAcentral is "partial 16S ribosomal RNA". It matches the Rfam family "Bacterial small subunit ribosomal RNA", at positions 526 to 779 of the family's 1533-position model. The record is from RNAcentral.
CGGAGGGUGCAAGCGUUAUCCGGAUUCACUGGGUUUAAAGGGUGCGUAGGAGGGCGGAUAAGUCAGUGGUGAAAUCUUCGAGCUUAACUCGGAAACUGCCGUUGAUACUAUUUGUCUUGAAUAUCGUGGAGGUGAGCGGAAUAUGUCAUGUAGCGGUGAAAUGCUUAGAUAUGACAUAGAACACCAAUUGCGAAGGCAGCUCGCUACACGAAUAUUGACUCUGAGGCACGAAAGCGUGGGAUCAAACAGGAUU